This 82-nucleotide transfer RNA is filed under the name Candidatus Sericytochromatia bacterium. RNAcentral's name for it is "tRNA-Leu". It matches the Rfam family "tRNA". From Rfam's summary of the family: Transfer RNA (tRNA) molecules are approximately 80 nucleotides in length. Their secondary structure includes four short double-helical elements and three loops (D, anti-codon, and T loops). The record is from RNAcentral. Lineage: Bacteria; Bacillati; Candidatus Sericytochromatia.
GGGUGCGUGGCGGAAUUGGCAGACGCGCUAGACUUAGGAUCUAGUACCGCAAGGUGUGAGAGUUCAAGUCUCUCCGCGCCCA